GGCCUCGUCGUUCAGCUGGUACAGUGUACGCUGAACAAGCGUAGGCGGCAUCCAGGUGUGGGUUCGAAUCCCACCGGGGCUA
RNAcentral lists this transfer RNA (82 nucleotides) under Echinostoma caproni. It matches the Rfam family "tRNA". Rfam says of the family: Transfer RNA (tRNA) molecules are approximately 80 nucleotides in length. Their secondary structure includes four short double-helical elements and three loops (D, anti-codon, and T loops). The record is from Rfam by way of RNAcentral. Lineage: Eukaryota; Metazoa; Platyhelminthes; Trematoda; Plagiorchiida; Echinostomatidae.